RNAcentral lists this ribosomal RNA (427 nucleotides) under uncultured bacterium. RNAcentral describes it as "bacterial SSU rRNA". It matches the Rfam family "Bacterial small subunit ribosomal RNA", at positions 355 to 774 of the family's 1533-position model. The record is from RNAcentral.
UGGGGAAUUUUGGACAAUGGGCGCAAGCCUGAUCCAGCAAUGCCGCGUGCAGGAUGAAGGCCUUCGGGUUGUAAACUGCUUUUGUACGGAACGAAAAGGCUCUGGUUAAUACCUGGGGCUCAUGACGGUACCGUAAGAAUAAGCACCGGCUAACUACGUGCCAGCAGCCGCGGUAAUACGUAGGGUGCAAGCGUUAAUCGGAAUUACUGGGCGUAAAGCGUGCGCAGGCGGUUAUGUAAGACAGAUGUGAAAUCCCCGGGCUCAACCUGGGACCUGCAUUUGUGGCUGCAUAGCUAGAGUACGGCAGAGGGGGAUGGAAUUCCGCGUGUAGCAGUCAAAUGCGUAGAUAUGCGGAGGAACACCGAUGGCGAAGGCGAUCCCCUGGGCCUGUACUGACGCUCAUGAACGAAAGCGUGGGGAGCAAACA